Long non-coding RNA from Nanorana parkeri, 127 nucleotides. RefSeq lists it as uncharacterized. The transcript has 3 exons. The record is from RefSeq and is a predicted model, not a curated record. NCBI's taxonomy places the organism in Eukaryota, Metazoa, Chordata, Amphibia, Anura, Dicroglossidae.
UAACGAUUCAGCGAAGCUCCAAAAAUCUUUAUAAAUACAGCCAUUGGAAGGACGAUCUUGAGUCAGGAAGGUAUUUUAGUCGUUGUUGGUAACUGUUCGUAGGUUGUUUCUUAGUGUGCGGCAUUCU